AAAGUAACAAAAUAUUUAGCAUGAAUAGCAAAAAAGUUGACUUGUGACCGAAUAAUCAUGUAAAAAAAUACAUGCAUCAGAAUAGUUAGCAGAUAACGUAUUAUCAGGAUAACAUGAUAACAAAUAUCUCGGUAAUAUUUAUUAGGUUAACAUGAUA
Molecule: small RNA, 157 nt
Filed under: Arabidopsis thaliana (thale cress)
Lineage: Eukaryota; Viridiplantae; Streptophyta; Magnoliopsida; Brassicales; Brassicaceae
Description: ATSL027510
Source: RNAcentral